RNAcentral lists this ribosomal RNA (1315 nucleotides) under Vibrio alginolyticus. RNAcentral describes it as "bacterial SSU rRNA". It matches the Rfam family "Bacterial small subunit ribosomal RNA", at positions 94 to 1405 of the family's 1533-position model. Lineage: Bacteria; Pseudomonadati; Pseudomonadota; Gammaproteobacteria; Vibrionales; Vibrionaceae. The record is from RNAcentral.
AGCGGCGGACGGGUGAGUAAUGCCUAGGAAAUUGCCCUGAUGUGGGGGAUAACCAUUGGAAACGAUGGCUAAUACCGCAUGAUGCCUACGGGCCAAAGAGGGGGACCUUCGGGCCUCUCGCGUCAGGAUAUGCCUAGGUGGGAUUAGCUAGUUGGUGAGGUAAGGGCUCACCAAGGCGACGAUCCCUAGCUGGUCUGAGAGGAUGAUCAGCCACACUGGAACUGAGACACGGUCCAGACUCCUACGGGAGGCAGCAGUGGGGAAUAUUGCACAAUGGGCGCAAGCCUGAUGCAGCCAUGCCGCGUGUGUGAAGAAGGCCUUCGGGUUGUAAAGCACUUUCAGUCGUGAGGAAGGUGGUAGUGUUAAUAGCACUAUCAUUUGACGUUAGCGACAGAAGAAGCACCGGCUAACUCCGUGCCAGCAGCCGCGGUAAUACGGAGGGUGCGAGCGUUAAUCGGAAUUACUGGGCGUAAAGCGCAUGCAGGUGGUUUGUUAAGUCAGAUGUGAAAGCCCGGGGCUCAACCUCGGAAUAGCAUUUGAAACUGGCAGACUAGAGUACUGUAGAGGGGGGUAGAAUUUCAGGUGUAGCGGUGAAAUGCGUAGAGAUCUGAAGGAAUACCGGUGGCCAAGGCGGCCCCCUGGACAGAUACUGACACUCAGAUGCGAAAGCGUGGGGAGCAAACAGGAUUAGAUACCCUGGUAGUCCACGCCGUAAACGAUGUCUACUUGGAGGUUGUGGCCUUGAGCCGUGGCUUUCGGAGCUAACGCGUUAAGUAGACCGCCUGGGGAGUACGGUCGCAAGAUUAAAACUCAAAUGAAUUGACGGGGGCCCGCACAAGCGGUGGAGCAUGUGGUUUAAUUCGAUGCAACGCGAAGAACCUUACCUACUCUUGACAUCCAGAGAACUUUCCAGAGAUGGAUUGGUGCCUUCGGGAACUCUGAGACAGGUGCUGCAUGGCUGUCGUCAGCUCGUGUUGUGAAAUGUUGGGUUAAGUCCCGCAACGAGCGCAACCCUUAUCCUUGUUUGCCAGCGAGUAAUGUCGGGAACUCCAGGGAGACUGCCGGUGAUAAACCGGAGGAAGGUGGGGACGACGUCAAGUCAUCAUGGCCCUUACGAGUAGGGCUACACACGUGCUACAAUGGCGCAUACAGAGGGCGGCCAACUUGCGAAAGUGAGCGAAUCCCAAAAAGUGCGUCGUAGUCCGGAUUGGAGUCUGCAACUCGACUCCAUGAAGUCGGAAUCGCUAGUAAUCGUGGAUCAGAAUGCCACGGUGAAUACGUUCCCGGGCCUUGUACACACCGCCCGUCACACCAU